UACGUAGGGUGCGAGCGUUGUCCGGAAUCAUUGGGCGUAAAGCGCGUGUAGGCGGCCCGGUAAGUCCGCUGUGAAAGUCGGGGGCUCAACCCUCGGAUGCCGGUGGAUACUGUCGGGCUUGAGUACGGAAGAGGCGAGUGGAAUUCCUGGUGUAGCGGUGAAAUGCGCAGAUAUCAGGAGGAACACCAAUUGCGAAGGCAGCUCGCUGGGACGUUACUGACGCUGAGACGCGAAAGCGUGGGGAGCAAACAGG
This 253-nucleotide ribosomal RNA is filed under the name uncultured bacterium. RNAcentral's name for it is "partial 16S ribosomal RNA". It matches the Rfam family "Bacterial small subunit ribosomal RNA", at positions 524 to 776 of the family's 1533-position model. The record is from RNAcentral.